CCUACGGGACGCAGCAGUGGGGAAUAUUGCACAAUGGGCGCAAGCCUGAUGCAGCCAUGCCGCGUGUAUGAAGAAGGCCUUCGGGUUGUAAAGUACUUUCAGCGGGGAGGAAGGUGUUGAGGUUAAUAACCUCAGCAAUUGAUGUUACCCGCAGAAGAGGCACCGGCUAACUCCGUGCCAGCAGCCGCGGUAAUACGGAGGGUGCAAGCGUUAAUCGGAAUUACUGGGCGUAAAGCGCACGCAAGCGGUCUGUCAAGUCGGAUGUGAAAUCCCCGGGCUCAACCUGGGAACUGCAUUCGAAACUGGCAGGCUAGAGUCUUGUAGAGGGGGGUAGAAUUCCAGGUGUAGCGGUGAAAUGCGUAGAGAUCUGGAGGAAUACCGGUGGCGAAGGCGGCCCCCUGGACAAAGACUGACGCUCAGGUGCGAAAGCGUGGGGAGCAAACAGGAUUAGAUACCCCGGUAGUC
RNAcentral lists this ribosomal RNA (465 nucleotides) under uncultured bacterium. Its description in RNAcentral is "bacterial SSU rRNA". It matches the Rfam family "Bacterial small subunit ribosomal RNA", at positions 338 to 795 of the family's 1533-position model. The record is from RNAcentral.